AUUGAACGCUGGCGGCAAGCCUAACACAUGCAAGUCGAACGAGGGGCGGACGGGUGAGUAAUGUCGGGGAAACUCCGUGGGGGAGGGGGAUAACUCCUGGAAACGGUAGCAAAUCCCACAAACCAUCGGAUGUCCCCAGAUGGGAUUAGCUUGUAGGUGGGGUAAAGGCUCACCUAGGCGACGAUCCCUAGCUGGUCUGAGAGGAUGACAAGCCACACUGGAACUGAGACACGGUCCAGACUCCUACGGGAGGCAGCAGUGGGGAAUAUUGCACAAUGGGCGAAAGCCUGAUGCAGCCAUGCCGCGUGUAUGAAGAAGGCCUUCGGGUUGUAAAGUACUUUCAGCGGGGAGGCGUUACCCGCAGAAGAAGCACCGGCUAACUCCGUGCCAGCAGCCGCGGUAAUUC
Molecule: ribosomal RNA, 406 nt
Filed under: uncultured bacterium
Lineage: Bacteria
Description: partial 16S ribosomal RNA
Rfam family: Bacterial small subunit ribosomal RNA
Source: RNAcentral